AACGAACGCUGGCGGCAUGCCUAACACAUGCAAGUCGAACGAGACCUUCGGGUCUAGUGGCUCACGGGUGCGUAACGCGUGGGAACCUGCCCUUAGGUUCGGAAUAACUCCCCGAAAGGGGUGCUAAUACCGGAUAAUGUCUUCGGACCAAAGAUUUAUCGCCUUUGGAUGGGCCCGCGUUGGAUUAGCUAGUUGGUAGGGUAAAAGCCUACCAAGGCGACGAUCCAUAGCUGGUCUGAGAGGAUGAUCAGCCACACUGGGACUGAGACACGGCCCAGACUCCUACGGGAGGCAGCAGUGGGGAAUAUUGGACAAUGGGCGGAAGCCUGAUCCAGCAAUGCCGCGUGAGUGAUGAAGGCCUUAGGGUUGUAAAGCUCUUUUACCCGGGAUGAUAAUGACAGUACCGGGAGAAUAAGCUCCGGCUAACUCCGUG
Molecule: ribosomal RNA, 433 nt
Filed under: uncultured bacterium
Lineage: Bacteria
Description: partial 16S ribosomal RNA
Rfam family: Bacterial small subunit ribosomal RNA
Source: RNAcentral